RNAcentral lists this long non-coding RNA (1031 nucleotides) under Parus major (Great Tit). RNAcentral's name for it is "lncRNA (ENSPMJG00000002696.1)". The record is from RNAcentral. Lineage: Eukaryota; Metazoa; Chordata; Aves; Passeriformes; Paridae.
AUGGUUGCACCUGCUCGGAGCCCGUUCUCAUCCUGGAAACCGGCCGCACCUGGGCGAGCGAGGCAAGGCCAAUUUCCUGCCUGGGCAACGCCGGGCCCUGCGAGCCACAGGCGGGUCCUGGGAGGAGAACGGGCUCUGAGGGGGCGACCGAGCCGAGGGAACUGGACACGGGUGCCAUUUGAAGCGUUGAGCCGGACAGGCCGGUGGGUCUGGCGGCCGGCACCGCUGUCCGGGCUGCGCGGAGCCGGAGACAGAAAAGGGACUGGCUUUGUCCGGCAGCCCUGCCACGGCCGGUACAUGUGGAAGCCCGAUAAGUUGGUUUGGAAGCGGCGGUUCCCGAGGAGCCAGCGGAGGCAGGGCUUCGUGCAUGGCCGGGCAGCCGCUCCUGCAGCCCCGCCGGCGGCUGCGCGGCUCCGAGGCAACGCCGCUGCCGAGCGGGGAGAGCAGAGCCCUGCCCGGGGUCAGCGGGGCUGCUCGCCCAGCUCUGCCAGCGGCACUGCUGCCCCCGGCAGCGAGCCCUUGCCCGCAUCCUUCCUGCGAGCUGGAGACGGAGACCGGCGAGAGCUGGAGAGCCCCGGCUGGAGCCGAGCGGAGAGCUGCAACAGGAUCCAUUGCAAAGCACAUCCAGAAAUGGAAGACCUUUAUUCUUUCUUACUCUUGAGAAAGAUCUGUCAAGUCAGUAAGUGGUUUGAUUGAAUGAGAGCAGUGAAACUAGUCCAUGGUGGAAGACUUUUAAAAAGAGGCUCUGAACUGAACAGCUACCCCCUGACGACUUUCUAGAAGGGAACAUAGGCAAAAUUGAGCCACGGAGUUCUAAAGCUAAAAUCUUAAAAGUUCCCUUAACCUUAGUUCAAGGGUUGGCACCUCAAAUUUUGGCCAGCAUAACUCUUCCAGCACCUGAAAUUAUACUUUUUCCAUUGAAACAGGCUGAAGUCCAGACAGGACUCAAGUACCUUGACAUGUAGACCCAUGUCAGCUGUGUUCUCCCUAAUAUUAAUAAAUUUUAACAUGUAUUUCUCCUAUGGUGAAAU